Molecule: long non-coding RNA, 1173 nt
Filed under: Ananas comosus (pineapple)
Lineage: Eukaryota; Viridiplantae; Streptophyta; Magnoliopsida; Poales; Bromeliaceae
Description: long non-coding RNA (ACOM_LNC002109)
Source: RNAcentral
UUAAACUAAAAACAUCUAAAUUUAAAUUACUUUGUACUUUAGAAUUUAAAAUUUAAUUUUGAUCCACUAUAAUUAAUUUUUUAAUUAUUAACUCCAAUGGAUAUAAAAAAUUAAAUUAAAUUUAUGAUAUAAACUUAAUUUUUAAUUUUAAUUUAAGUAGAUAGAUAUGAAUACUAUUUUUUAACAGAUUAAUCAUAACCUUCGUUUUUAUUUGAGAUAUUUCUUUUGAUUCCGUCUGUCAUUUCNUCUAUAUAUAUAUAUAUAUAUAUAUGAGUAGGGCUACUAUACUCAGUAUUGGGUCCUUUAUACUCAUAAGUUGUUUUCAAUGAUGGAGCUUCCAAAUCGAUGAUCCACUCCGUUAAAUAUGAUAGAGUAUUUCAAACUUUUAGAAAAAGAAUUUCGUAAUUUUUUGAAAUCAUAAUAAAAUCCAUCAAGCGGUAUAAAAUGAACGGUCAAAAUCGAACGACAACUUAAAAAUGGAUGAUCGGAUCCUUCAAUUUAAGAUCGGAGUUAUUGAUCUUUAUUUAUGUAGUGAAUACAAUUUUCUAUCAAAAAUUCAACCGAUUUCGAUUCUUUUACACCGUUAAACUAGCAAAUAUUUCAUACCGGUCGUUAAAAAUUGUCAAUUUUGUGACCUUUUGAUUAAGGUAAAUGAUGUCGAAAAAUUAUAAAAUUUGAUUUCUAGACGUUUUAAAUGCGCUAGAUAAUGUUUAACGGUGUGGAUCGUCAAUUCGGAAGCUCUAUCAUCGAAAAUAACUUAUGAGUACGAGGGUGAUCGUACUCAUAAUAGUAUAGUAGCCGGACUCUAUGGGCGUGUUUAGUUCGCUUCUUUUUCACCCUAGAAUCGGAGUCGGAAUGGGUGAAUUCGUUUGUAGGUGUUUGAUACGCAGUAGUCCCAUUCCGAUUCCGAUUCCCGAGUGGAAUGUGAAUCCCCCAAUCACCUUAUUUUUUAAUCGGCCUAGGAGGUAGGAUUGAAAGUUGAAUCCGGACGGAAUGGAUAUUUAUUCGGAUUAAAUUUAUUUUUUCAACUUUUUUAAUUAAAAUAUGAGUUAAAAUUUAAAAAUUAAAUAUAUAAUUUUAAAUUUUAAUUUAAACUUAAAUUAAAAAUCAAAAUUUAAUCAAGUAUUUCGAAUCUAACUUAUGAAUUUGAAUUUAAAUUAAAUUUUAAUUUAU